AUAUCAGAUAGGGCAAGGCUUAUAAAAGCCACUAAAGUCACCCCCCCCCUUGCUUCCUCCCAGGCACAUAAGAAUUCAUCUCGCGAUGUCAUCCACUCAAGGGCACGAGCUUCCAAGUCUCCUUGGGUAACUAAUUUUAAUACCUGACAACACUUUCUGUCAUGAUGUUUUCUCUUGCAAACAAUGCAACUGAGCUGCCUCUUGUCUUUUUUUUUUUUUUCCCAAACCUUAAGGAACAAGGUGAACAAUUGGUCUCAAUUCUUCAUAAAAUCGUCGGAACUCAUCACCAGCCUUUUAUGAAUCGCAUCCAAGCUAAGGAUGGCCUCUGUUUGUUUUGUUUGCAGUGACUGUCUUUAGAAGGAUUCCCCCUUACUUCAUCAUAUUUUUCAACCAGGGCUGAAUUUAUUGCUCCACAUAUUUAGAAACAUGUAUUUCUGCAAGGGAUGAAUGUAAAAUAAUAUGCCCUUUAGAGCCAGGGUCUACAAGGGAAUUUCUAGGCAGCGGGCUGAGAAAAGAGACCGCUCAAGGAGAAUAUUAAUGGCUGUGAUUACAAAGAGGGCGAGUAAUUGGUUCAAGGCGUAAGCAAAUAAAGAGGAAAAGCGAACAGAAGGGCUAACUGAGCCAUCAAAUGUGCCUCAAGAUUAGCAUCGUUCAGAAGGGACAUGCGUUAAAGGUGGAUUUUGCUUGAAAACAAACGCCACGUUGACUCUGUUCCAGAGUUGCCACAGCAUCCCUUUCAUUGGCCAAAGAAAAAUAUAAUAGCAUCCUGGAUUUAAGGAGUGGAAAGUCAGCUUCUAUCCUGCUAGGACGAGCCAAUAAGAUACCUCACAAGAAGAACGCUACUGGGAAGGGAAGGAAAAUUACAGGCAUCUGUCCAGUCUGCUACAUGCAUCAUGAAAGACUAGAGCACCUUGGAGUUGAGAGCUGGAUGAAACCCUUGUCUGCUAACAGGAAAAAUAAAUACAGGUGUUCCUUUUCCCAUCUUGGCGAAAGGUCUUGUUCCCUUAAUUCCAUUUUCAUUCUGUGUAAAAUGGAGGCAAAUAGUACUAUGUGCAAACCAACUAUGGAGAUGCCAAGUGUCUGUGCGUUUGUUAAAUCUAAAGGCACCGUUGCUGGAAGUGGGGAGAAAUAA
RNAcentral lists this long non-coding RNA (1132 nucleotides) under Mus spicilegus (steppe mouse). RNAcentral's name for it is "lncRNA (ENSMSIG00000012603.1)". Lineage: Eukaryota; Metazoa; Chordata; Mammalia; Rodentia; Muridae. The record is from RNAcentral.